This 81-nucleotide transfer RNA is filed under the name Hyaloperonospora arabidopsidis Emoy2. It matches the Rfam family "tRNA". Rfam says of the family: Transfer RNA (tRNA) molecules are approximately 80 nucleotides in length. Their secondary structure includes four short double-helical elements and three loops (D, anti-codon, and T loops). Lineage: Eukaryota; Oomycota; Peronosporomycetes; Peronosporales; Peronosporaceae. The record is from Rfam by way of RNAcentral.
GACAUCUUGGCCGAGCAGGUAAGGCGAUAGUCUUGAAAUCUAUUGAAGUAACCCGCGUGAGUUCAAGUAUCACAGCUUUCA